CCUACGGGCGGCAGCAGUGGGGAAUAUUGGACAAUGGGGGGAACCCUGAUCCAGCCAUGCCGCGUGUGUGAAGAAGGCCCUCGGGUUGUAAAGCACUUUCAGUGAGGAAGAACGCCUGGUGGUUAAUACCCAUCAGGAAAGACAUCACUCACAGAAGAAGCACCGGCUAACUCCGUGCCAGCAGCCGCGGUAAUACGGAGGGUGCGAGCGUUAAUCGGAAUUACUGGGCGUAAAGCGCGCGUAGGUGGCUUGAUAAGCCGGUUGUGAAAGCCCCGGGCUCAACCUGGGAACGGCAUCCGGAACUGUCAAGCUAGAGUGCAGGAGAGGAAGGUAGAAUUCCCGGUGUAGCGGUGAAAUGCGUAGAGAUCGGGAGGAAUACCAGUGGCGAAGGCGACCUUCUGGACUGACACUGACACUGAGGUGCGAAAGCGUGGGUAGCAAACAGGAUUAGAUACCCGAGUAGUC
RNAcentral lists this ribosomal RNA (465 nucleotides) under Vreelandella stevensii. Its description in RNAcentral is "partial 16S ribosomal RNA". It matches the Rfam family "Bacterial small subunit ribosomal RNA", at positions 338 to 795 of the family's 1533-position model. The record is from RNAcentral. Lineage: Bacteria; Pseudomonadati; Pseudomonadota; Gammaproteobacteria; Oceanospirillales; Halomonadaceae.